UACGUAGGGUGCAAGCGUUAAUCGGAAUUACUGGGCGUAAAGCGUGCGCAGGCGGUUGUGCAAGACAGAUGUGAAAUCCCCGGGCUUAACCUGGGAACUGCAUUUGUGACUGCACAGCUAGAGUACGGCAGAGGGGGAUGGAAUUCCGCGUGUAGCAGUGAAAUGCGUAGAUAUGCGGAGGAACACCGAUGGCGAAGGCAGUCCCCUGGGCCUGUACUGACGCUCAUGCACGAAAACGUGGGGAGCAAACAGG
RNAcentral lists this ribosomal RNA (253 nucleotides) under uncultured bacterium. RNAcentral describes it as "partial 16S ribosomal RNA". It matches the Rfam family "Bacterial small subunit ribosomal RNA", at positions 524 to 776 of the family's 1533-position model. The record is from RNAcentral.